This 779-nucleotide ribosomal RNA is filed under the name uncultured marine eukaryote. RNAcentral's name for it is "SSU rRNA". It matches the Rfam family "Eukaryotic small subunit ribosomal RNA", at positions 64 to 870 of the family's 1831-position model. The record is from RNAcentral.
UAUAAAUGGUAUACAAUGAAACUGCGAAUGGCUCAUUAAAACAGUUAUAGUUUAUUUGGUAAUCAAACUUACAUGGAUAACCGUGGUAAUUCUAGAGCUAAUACAUGCUGUUGUGCCCGACUCACGAAGGGCCGUAUUUAUUAGAUAUCAGCCAAUAAGCAUCUGCUAUUGUGGUGACUCAUAGUAACUUAAUCGGAUCGCAUGGGCUUGUCCCGCGACAAACCAUUCAAGUUUCUGCCCCAUCAUGCUUUCGAUGGUAGUGUAUUGGACUACCAUGGCUUUCACGGGUAACGGAGGAUUAGGGUUCGAUUCCGGAGAGGGAGCCUGAGAAACGGCUACCACUUCCACGGAAGGCAGCAGGCGCGUAAAUUACCCAAUCCUGAUUCAGGGAGGUAGUGACAAGAAAUAAUGGGUCGGGGUUCUGCCCCGGGACUGCAAUGAGACGAAUUUAGACCCCUUAUCGAGGACCAAUUGGAGGGCAAGUCUGGUGCCAGCAGCCGCGGUAAUUCCAGCUCCAAUAGCGUAUAUUAAAGUUGUUGCAGUUAAAAAGCUCGUAGUUGGAUUUCUGGUAGUGGGCAAGAGCUCUCUGAUGAUGCUCGCGUUCAUUGCCAUCCUUCUGUUAACCUAUCAGGGCAUUCUAUUGUCAGUUAGGGGCUCAGAUAUUUUACCUUGAGAAAAUUAGAGUGUUUCAGGCAGGCUUGUGCCCGAAUACAUUAGCAUGGAAUAAUGGAAUAGGACUUUAGCCUCUUCUGUUGGUCUGAGGGGUUGAAGUAAUGAUU